UGUCAGGGCCCAGCCCCAACCUUUGGAGGACUCCAAGGAACAUUCAACGCUGUCGGUGAGUUUGGGAUUUGGAAAAAAACCACCGACCGUUGACUGUACCUUGGGAUUCUCA
Molecule: microRNA precursor, 112 nt
Filed under: Erinaceus europaeus (western European hedgehog)
Lineage: Eukaryota; Metazoa; Chordata; Mammalia; Eulipotyphla; Erinaceidae
Description: miRNA (ENSEEUG00000016167.1)
Rfam family: mir-181 microRNA precursor family (bases 28-110)
About the family: In this case the mature sequence comes from the 5' arm of the precursor. The extents of the hairpin precursors are not generally known and are estimated based on hairpin prediction.
Source: RNAcentral